UGGGGAAUAUUACACAAUGGGCGCAAGCCUGAUGCAGCCAUGCCGCGUGUAUGAAGAAGGCCUUCGGGUUGUAAAGUACUUUCAGCGGGGAGGAAGGGAGUAAAGUUAAUACCUUUGCUCAUUGACGUUACCCGCAGAAGAAGCACCGGCUAACUCCGUGCCAGCAGCCGCGGUAAUACGGAGGGUGCAAGCGUUAAUCGGAAUUACUGGGCGUAAAGCGCACGCAGGCGGUUUGUUAAGUCAGAUGUGAAAUCCCCGGGCUCAACCUGGGAACUGCAUCUGAUACUGGCAAGCUUGAGUCUCGUAGAGGGGGGUAGAAUUCCAGGUGUAGCGGUGAAAUGCGUAGAGAUCUGGAGGAAUACCGGUGGCGAAGGCGGCCCCCUGGACGAAGACUGACGCUCAGGUGCGAAAGCGUGGGGAGCAAACA
Molecule: ribosomal RNA, 427 nt
Filed under: uncultured bacterium
Lineage: Bacteria
Description: partial 16S ribosomal RNA
Rfam family: Bacterial small subunit ribosomal RNA
Source: RNAcentral